AUCCUGGCUCAGGAUGAACGCUAGCGACAGGCCUAACACAUGCAAGUCGAGGGGCAGCGGGAGGUAGCAAUACCUUUGCCGUCGACCGGCGCACGGGUGAGUAACGCGUAUCCAACCUGCCCAUCACUUGGGGAUAACCUUGCGAAAGUAAGACUAAUACCCAAUGACGUCUCUAGAAGACAUCUGAAGGAGAUUAAAGAUUUAUCGGUGAUGGAUGGGGAUGCGUCUGAUUAGCUUGUUGGCGGGGUAACGGCCCACCAAGGCGACGAUCAGUAGGGGUUCUGAGAGGAAGGCCCCCCACAUUGGAACUGAGACACGGUCCAGACUCCUACGGGAGGCAGCAGUGAGGAAUAUUGGUCAAUGGACGAGAGUCUGAACCAGCCAAGUAGCGUGCAGGAUGACGGCCCUAUGGGUUGUAAACUGCUUUUAUAAGGGAAUAAAGUGAGUCUCGUGAGACUUUUUGCAUGUACCUUAUGAAUAAGGACCGGCUAAUUCCGUG
This 499-nucleotide ribosomal RNA is filed under the name uncultured bacterium. Its description in RNAcentral is "bacterial SSU rRNA". It matches the Rfam family "Bacterial small subunit ribosomal RNA", at positions 16 to 507 of the family's 1533-position model. The record is from RNAcentral.